CAGAGCCCGCCAGUUGCUAAGCCAGGGCCACACCUGGGGGUGAUUUCAUGCCUCACCUCCAGUAGGCUCAUGGCCUCUCUGGGCUAACCUCUAGCUUCUUUGCACUAACUUUAGCUCUUACCCAGCUAAUCCCUGCCUCUCCACGGCUGCCCAGGGGCUGACCACUAACAGCCAGCCCUGCCCAUCAUGGGGGGAUGCCGGGGGNCGGCGUGUCCAGGUUCCUGGCCUGGCUUUGGCCUGCUUCCUUGAACUACCCUUCCUCUGGACUAAUUCAUGCCUUUCUGGUCUGUUCCUUUCGGCAGAAAUGAAUGGCUGUGGCUUUCUCUCUAACAGGUCUCAUCUUCUUCUCACUGUCACCACUAAUGGCUUGGAUGGCGGCAUGGCCGGG
Molecule: long non-coding RNA, 388 nt
Organism: Neotoma lepida (desert woodrat)
Lineage: Eukaryota; Metazoa; Chordata; Mammalia; Rodentia; Cricetidae
Rfam family: Myocardial infarction associated transcript exon 5 conserved region 3
About the family: MIAT (myocardial infarction associated transcript), also known as RNCR2 (retinal non-coding RNA 2) or Gomafu, is a noncoding RNA. Single nucleotide polymorphisms (SNPs) in MIAT are associated with a risk of myocardial infarction.
Source: Rfam